AGUAAUGUAUGGGGAUCUGCCCGAUAGAGGGGGAUAACUACUGGAAACGGUGGCUAAUACCGCAUAAUGUCUACGGACCAAAACAGGGGCUCUUCGGACCUUGCACUAUCGGAUGAACCCAUAUGGGAUUAGCUAGUAGGUGGGGUAAAGGCUCACCUAGGCGACGAUCUCUAGCUGGUCUGAGAGGAUGAUCAGCCACACUGGGACUGAGACACGGCCCAG
RNAcentral lists this ribosomal RNA (222 nucleotides) under uncultured bacterium. RNAcentral describes it as "partial 16S ribosomal RNA". It matches the Rfam family "Bacterial small subunit ribosomal RNA", at positions 109 to 334 of the family's 1533-position model. The record is from RNAcentral.